AGCUAGUUGGUGAGGUAAAGGCCCACCAAGGCGAUGAUGGGUAGCCGGCCUGAGAGGGUGUACGGCCACACUGGGACUGAGAUACGGCCCAGACUCCUACGGGAGGCAGCAGCUAAGAAUAUUCCGCAAUGGACGGAAGUCUGACGGAGCGACGCCGCGUGGAUGAAGAAGGCCGAAAGGUUGUAAAGUUCUUUUGCUAGGGGAGAAUAAGUGUGGGAGGGAAUGCCUGCACGAUGACAAGGACUAGCGAAUAAGUCCCGGCCAACUACGUGCCAGCAGCCGCGGUAACACGUAGGGGGCGAGCGUUGUUCGGAAUUACUGGGCGUAAAGGGCAUGUAGGCGGCUUGGUAAGCCUGGCGUGAAAGUCUGCAGCUUAACUGUAGGGAUGCGUUGGGAACUGCUUAGCUUGAGUUACGGAGAGGGAGCUGGAAUUCCUGGUGUAGGGGUGAAAUCUGUAGAUAUCAGGAAGAACACCGAUGGCGAAGGCAAGCUUCUGGCCGACAACUGACGCUGAGGUGCGAAAGUGUGGGGAUCAAACAGGAUUAGAUACCCUGGUAGUCCACACAGUAAACGAUGUGCACGAGGUGCUGGGGCGGUAGUUUCAGUGCCGGAGCGAACGCGGUAAGUGC
Molecule: ribosomal RNA, 629 nt
Filed under: uncultured bacterium
Lineage: Bacteria
Description: bacterial SSU rRNA
Rfam family: Bacterial small subunit ribosomal RNA
Source: RNAcentral